GCUGGGCAUGGUGGCUCAUGCCUGUAAUCCUAGCACUUUGGGAGGCUGAGGCGGGCAGAUCACCUGAGGUCAGGAGUUCAAGACCAGCCUGGUCAACAUGGUGAAAGCCCGUCUCUA
This 117-nucleotide non-coding RNA is filed under the name Pan paniscus (pygmy chimpanzee). The record is from Rfam by way of RNAcentral. RNAcentral also lists the same sequence under 1 other name. Lineage: Eukaryota; Metazoa; Chordata; Mammalia; Primates; Hominidae.